This 1048-nucleotide ribosomal RNA is filed under the name human gut metagenome. RNAcentral's name for it is "bacterial LSU rRNA". It matches the Rfam family "Bacterial large subunit ribosomal RNA", at positions 1314 to 2476 of the family's 2925-position model. The record is from RNAcentral.
AAGAAGUGUGAGAGACACUUCCGCUGAAAGUCCAAGGUUUCCUGCGUAAAGCUAAUCUGCGCAGGGUUAGUCGGCCCCUAAGGUGAGGCUGAGAAGCGUAGCUGAUGGGAAGCAGGUUAAUAUUCCUGCACCAGCUAGGAGGUGACGGAUUUCAAAGAUUGUAACUGAUUAUUGGAUUUCGGUUGCAGUUCAGAAGUUCCAGGAAAGAGCCCUAGCAUAGACCGUACCCCAAACCGACACAGGUGGACAGGUAGAGAAUACCAAAGCGCUUGAGAGAACUAUGUUGAAGGAACUAGGCAAAAUGCUUGUGUAACUUCGGGAUAAGCAAGCCCCAUUUUUAGGCAACUAAAGGUGGGGGGCACAUACUAGGGGGUAGCGACUGUUUACUAAAAACACAGGGCUCUGCUAAAUUGAAAGAUGAAGUAUAGGGUCUGACGCCUGCCCGGUGCUGGAAGGUUAAGGAGAGAUGUUCACGCAUUGAACUGAAGCCCCAGUAAACGGCGGCCGUAACUAUAACGGUCCUAAGGUAGCGAAAUUCCUUGUCGGGUAAGUUCCGACCUGCACGAAUGGCGUAACGACUUCCCCGCUGUCUCCAACAUAGGCUCAGCGAAAUUGAACUCUGAGUUAAGAUGCUCAGUACCCGCGGUUAGACGGAAAGACCCCGUGAACCUUUACUAUAGCUUUGCAGUGGUAUUAGGUAAUAGAUGUGUAGAAUAGGUGGGAUGCUAUGAAGCAGGGACGCUAGUUCUUGUGGAGCAGCUGUUGAAAUACCACCCUUUUGUUAUUUGAUAUCUAACCUGCUCCCGUAGAUCCGGGAGAGGGACCCUGCAUGGUGGGUAGUUUGACUGGGGCGGUCGCCUCCCAAAGAGUAACGGAGGCGUGCGAAGGUUAGCUCAGACUGGUCGGAAAUCAGUCGUCGAGUGCAAUGGCAUAAGCUAGCCUGACUGCGAGAGAGACAUUUCGAGCAGAUACGAAAGUAGGUCAUAGUGAUCCGGUGGUCCCGAGUGGAAGGGCCAUCGCUCAACGGAUAAAAGGUACUCCGGGGAUA